GAUGAAGAACGCAGCGAAAUGCGAUAAGUAAUGUGAAUUGCAGAAUUCAGUGAAUCAUCGAAUCUUUGAACGCACAUUGCGCCCCCUGGUAUUCCGGGGGGCAUGCCUGUCCGAGCGUCAUUACAACCCUCAAGCUCUGCUUGGUGUUGGGCCCCGCCGCCCCGGCGGGCCCUAAAGUCAGUGGCGGUGCCAUCCGGCUCCGAGCGUAGUAAUUCUUCUCGCUCUGGAGGUCCGGUUGUGUGCUUGCCAUCAACCCCCAAUUUUUUUCAGGUUGACCUCGGAUCAGGUAGGGAUACCCGCUGAACUUAAGCAUAUCAAUAAGCGGAGGA
Molecule: unclassified non-coding RNA, 329 nt
Filed under: soil metagenome
Description: partial contains 5.8S ribosomal RNA, internal transcribed spacer 2, and large subunit ribosomal RNA
Rfam family: 5.8S ribosomal RNA (bases 1-120)
Source: RNAcentral